CCCAGGACUUCUACUUCAACAACAAAUGUGGUUUUGGUUCCAAAUAAUCCAUAGUUAUAUUCAAAUACCUCCGUUUUGUUCGUGCGUUCAGGUCACUAUCCGAAGGGUAACGCGUGAGCGCAUUUCGUGACAAUUUUUUCUAAAAUAUUCCAUUACCGUACUUAGAAGCAUGUCAAACGCUGUUUAACCUGUUAGGGCUAGGGGGCAGUAUUGACACGGCUGGAUAAAAAAACGUACCCGAUUUAAUCUGGUUACUACUCCUGCCCAGUAACUAGAAUAUGCAUAUAAUUAUUGGCUUUGGAUAGAAAACACUCCAAAGUUUCUAAAACUGUUUGAAUAGUGUCUGUGAGUAUAACAGAACUCAAAUGGCAGGUCAAAACCUGAGAAGAUUCUGUACAGGAAGUACCCUGUCUGACCAUUUCUUGGCCUUCUUUGCCAUCUCUAUCCAUUACAAAGGAUCUCUGCUGUUACGUGACACUUCCUACGGCUGCGAUAGGCUCUCAGAAGGCGGCAAAAAGCUGAAUCGUGGCUUUGCAGGCUCUGGCUGAAAAAAAGUAGCGCGUUUGGGUAGUGGCUGGUUACAGUACUGUGAGACUCAGGCGCGUGCCCGCGUCGACCGAAUGCUUUGUUUUCUUUCCUCUGUUUACCUAAACGGAGAUUCCCGGGCGGAAUAUUAUCGCUUUUUUACGAGAAAAAUGGCAUAAAAAUGGAUUUUAAACAGCGGUUGACAUGCUUCGAAGUACGGUAAUGGAAUAUUUAUACAUUUUUUGUCACGAAUUGCGCCAUGCUCGUAACCCUGAUUUACCAUUUCGGAUAGUGUCUGGAACGCACGAACAAAACGCAGCUAUUUGGAUAUAACGAUGGAUUAUUUUGGACCAAACCAACAUUUGUUAUUGAAGUAGCAGUCCUGGGAGUGCAUUCUGACGAAGACAACAAAGAGGGAGAGAAACCAAAAGUCCACCAUCGCCUCAUGGGUUUCCCAGUCGCGGCUGGCAUGGGUAUCGUACCAGCAUCUGUAGCAACGCAGUUUGCACUGCAAUGCAGUGUCUUAGACCGCUGCGCCACUCUGUUAGGAAAAUAUGGCCUGUACAACGUGACCGUUUCCACACCCUAAUCACAGUCAGAAGACAGUUGAAGAAACUUGUGUGGACUUAUGGAAAGGCUCGGCCCAGAUCAAAGCUGUCGAGACAUUCAAUGACGUCAUCUUCACAGACUAAUCAACUCUGGCCCUUGAGCAAUUUGCUCAAAAUUGCUACAGAAAAAAGGAAGAAGAUCAAGCAAGCCGAUUCCCAAGCAUCUGCUCAAACUCCAUGUGUGGGGGGCAAUUUCUCGCCAGAGACCAGGCCCAUAUUUGAUUUGAUGGUAUCAUGGCUCGAGAUUUUUUUGAGGAAGAAAUCAUCAAGAGAUAUGCUGGACCCUAUGUCCGAGAGACAAUGACCCAAAACACACUGCCUCCUGGGUUUGCAUUGCAAAUGAGGGCUUUUACCCGCGGUCAUGGAGCUGGGUGGAAGUGCAACUAAAAUGUAGUUUAAAUAAACAUCUGCAUUUUGAAUGUCUUUUUUGUCGUUAUUUUAUUAUCGAAAGCAUAAAGAUGUUGAUGAAGAAAUACUGUACUGCUGUUUUGAGUUAGAAAUGUAACACUUUAGAGUACUUAAGCAUUGAAUAAAAGUUGGGGGAUGUUCACUCCUACAGUAGC
Molecule: long non-coding RNA, 1696 nt
Filed under: Salmo salar (Atlantic salmon)
Lineage: Eukaryota; Metazoa; Chordata; Actinopteri; Salmoniformes; Salmonidae
Description: lncRNA (ENSSSAG00000082354.1)
Source: RNAcentral